Diaporthe sp. PMI_573 is the source of this 72-nucleotide non-coding RNA. Lineage: Eukaryota; Fungi; Ascomycota; Sordariomycetes; Diaporthales; Diaporthaceae. The record is from the annotation of a GenBank genome assembly.
GCUCUUGUAGCUUAACUGGUAGAGCUUCCUACCCUUAGUAAGAGGACCCAGGUUCAAUUCUUAGUAGUAGCU